Molecule: ribosomal RNA, 762 nt
Filed under: Tripylella intermedia
Lineage: Eukaryota; Metazoa; Nematoda; Enoplea; Triplonchida; Tripylidae
Description: eukaryotic LSU rRNA
Rfam family: Eukaryotic large subunit ribosomal RNA
Source: RNAcentral
GGAAAGUUGCAAAGAACUUUGAAGAGAGAGUUCAAGAGGGCGUGAAACCGCUUAGAAGUAAACGGGUGGAGCUGUCAUUAACUCUGUUGGAUUCAGCCUCUCAAACGAUAGAUAAUUUACGACUGAUCGCAAGACAAGCGUGGGUUUAUUCUGUCUAUGAGGGGUGCACUUUCAAAAGAGUUGCGUCACGACCGAUAAGUUUGCUGGCAAAGACUGGUUUAUUGCCGACUGCAACUUGUUGCAGAGCCCCAUUUACCAGUUCAGUCCGAGAUAGACUUAUCGGGAAAACACCGCGCCCGCUUGCCUCAUGCAUUGCCGUUUCUGGGUCGUUUGAAAUUCUGAGUUGUGCUUGCACGACUUGGUAACCCUCGAUUCUCAUAACGGUAGUGUUUUGAUGUGGCGCAUAUGGUCAGUGGCGUCCGCGUCAGCGUCCCACCCGACCCGUCUUGAAACACGGACCAAGGAGUCUAACAUGUGCGCAAGUCAUGGGGUUGCAAAACCCAAAGGCGUAAUGAAAGUGAAGGUCAAUUCAGUUGAUCGAGGUGGGAUCCCUAGUUUACUGGGGCGCACCACUGUCCCAUCGCAUCUGCUUGUCAGAGCGGUGGCGAAAGAGCGCACACGUUGGGACCCGAAAGAUGGUGAACUAUGCCUGAGCAGGAUGAAGCCAGAGGAAACUCUGGUGGAGGUCCGUAGCGGUUCUGACGUGCAAAUCGAUCGUCAGACUUGGGUAUAGGGGCGAAAGACUAAUCGAACCAUCUAGUA